This is a long non-coding RNA of Chenopodium quinoa (quinoa), 1274 nucleotides long. RefSeq lists it as uncharacterized. Lineage: Eukaryota; Viridiplantae; Streptophyta; Magnoliopsida; Caryophyllales; Amaranthaceae. The transcript has 7 exons. The record is from RefSeq and is a predicted model, not a curated record.
AUUUUUCUCUCUCUUCUUCCAAUCCACGCUUCCCAUAUUUUUAAUUUUUAUUCUUCCUACCUUCCAUGGUGUUUUACUGUUCUUGGGUUCUUCUUCAUUCCCUUUGUUUUCUGCAAAAUGUAUCCUCAUUUUACCCAUUUUUCUGAGUCUAUUCUUCAAAAAAUUUCAUGGGUUGAAUUGAUUAUCAGAUGUUUUUGUUCCAGGUUGCUUUAAUCAUGAUUUAUUCUCUUGUGCUACUCAUCCAUCUUGGAUUUGAAGACAAGCAAUCAUAUUACUUAGCUGCAGGGGUAUGAUGCUGGAAUCUGACAGAAUUUUGGCAAACCACCAUAUAGAAAUCACAGGGCUUUGAGGCUCUUCUGAGUUGCAGGUAUCUUCUGCAAAUGAAACAUAAGGCAAUUAGUUUAUAGGCUUGCUGGCAAGAGCUUUUGUGUUUCUGCUAUAGCUACUUCAUGCGAGAACUGCAGCUCAUGCUUCGUCAAGCUUUUUUGUUAGAGCAAGAUUGAUCAAGUGAUAAAAUUUGCUUACCUUAAGUUCAGAAGCAGCAGAUGACAGCUGGUGGUUGUUCUCUUCCUUCAUUUUGUUGUAUCUUUCAAUCACCAUUUUCAUGCUGAAAGUAGCAUUCAGAAUAUCAAUGUCACUAUUCCUACAGGGAUGAAUGUAGAGAAAUUAAUGUUCAUGGUAAUGCGGGUUUAAUGACACUUUCAAUUAUAUUCCUGCCAUGACACCCCUCCCCUCUCUCUGAGUGAGAUGCUAGCUAACAGGAUGAUCACUGAGGUCUAACAAGAAGAGGUAGCUACCCUAUAGUAACUUCAUUCAGAAACACGGAAAAGAAGGCGGAGCUGAAGAGCUUUCUGCUGCUGCACAAAUUAAUUCAAGGAUACAAGGAUGAUAAACACUAUGGUAUAGCUACAUCAAUGGACGAUGGUUAAAUCAGACUAUGAUGAAUGUGAACGAAAGACUAUAAGUACAUGCUGAGCCACUGAAGAGCAACAUGCUUAAGGAAUGUGAAGGAGGCUCUUUUCUCUUGGCAUGGAAGUAGGGGGUAUUUACCUUUAAGAGAUGUUUAUGAAUAAAAAGUAUGGUUUUAUUUGGACAACAGAUUGGUGUAUGAUUUCAUUAACUUAUUAGCUGUUUUGACCAGUAGAAUACAUUAUUACUUGUACAAAAUUGCUAAUAACAGCUAUCAGCUUUCAGCAAUCUGGUAUGUCAAGAGAGUAUGGACAUAUUUUGUUAUUAAAUGUUCUUCAUCUGACCACUUAUUAAAAUUUUGUCUC